CGUAUCCUGUCAAAGGGCCCUUUCUCGCCAUCAUAGCUCCUUGCUUUCUCAGCGGACAAGUCUUUUUCCCCUCCUUCUGCGAUGCCGUGCUUUCUCUCAGUUCUGGGCGCCGUUGCCCUGGGUGCGAUUUUUUUCAAGGUUAUCGGCUUUGUCAAGAUCAACUACCUGACAUCCCUUAACAUGAAGAAGCGUUACGGCCACGCCGGCGACUGGGCAGUUGUAACGGGCGCUAGCGAGGGUAUUGGCUACGCCAUGGCCCUCGACCUUGGCCGCCGUGGAUUCAACGUGUGUGUCAUUGCACGCACCUUGUCGAAGCUGGAAAGCGUUGUGGCGGAUCUGAAGCAGCUCGGCGUGCAGGGCAAGGCCAUUUCGUUUGAUUUCGCCUCGGCGACCCCUAAGCAGUACGAUGAUAUGUUCGCAGAGCUCGACAAGAUUGAGAUUGCCGUGCUCGUCAAUAACGUUGGCGUUAACUACACCUACACCAACAAUUUCGACGAGGUAGAUCUUGAGACGGACCUCCGCCUGCUCAAAGUAAACUGUGAGUCCAGUGUCCGCAUGACCAAGUAUGUGGUGCCGAAGAUGAAGGCGAAGCGCUGUGGUGCCAUCCUUAUGCUCGGCUCCGUCUCCGCCGUUACUCCUGCCCCGCUUCUGUGCACGUACGCCGGAACGAAGGCCUUCAACUUGUCUUUUGGCUCUGGUCUCCACUACGAAUUGAAGGAGUUCGGCAUUGAUGUUCUUGCAGUGUCGCCAAACAUGGUAGUGAGCAAGAUGACACAAGGUCUUAGCUCCCGUAAGCCACGUGAGACCUUCCUGAUGGUGAACGCUGACAACAUGGCGCAUCAGACGCUUGACAAGCUCGGAUCUGUACCUCAGACUCCCGGUCACCGCAAUCACGCCGUUCUGGAGGCAAUCGUGAGGGCACUACCCACCGAUUAUGUGUCGAACAAGAUCUUGCAGACGCAUAAGUCUAUCAAGUGUAAGGCUGAGCGAAAACGCGAAUAGUCUCCUCUGCGCGCUCUGCAGGGUGCUACCUGAUUUUUUUCUUUUUUUUUGCCGUAAAGCAUGCUUUACUUGACAGCUCCAUUUUUUGUCCUCUUUGUGGUUUCGCUUUCUUCACACCGUGAUACGCAUGUUCUUUUUUUUCAAUGAACUGUCUGUUGGCCCGUUUAUUUGCUGAGCAGUUUAUGGACGAACAACGCACUGGAAAAAAAAAACAGCUCUUUUCUUCUCUCUGUGUGACUGCUGCUUUUGACCUUGUAGACCUUGGGGUACGGGUGAGAUCGUCCUGAGCCCUCGUAGUGACUAGUGCACGACCUGAAGGGCUCGCUGAUUCCUCAGCACAGAUUCAUGUGCUGUACACAUCUGAGUUGUGUAGAAGUUGUUUUCCUCAAGCACACUACGGGUAGGUCUUACUAGGGAAAUGCGAACGCCGGACACACCAUAAAGUUCACAGAAUGCAGCGAAAAACUGCUUUUUCAGGAAAAAUACAGAAAGAAAGUCACACACAUUCUUUUUCAUUUUUCUCUGAUGCAAUAAUAGGCUACAAACGUUCUCCAUAGGGAAAGCCAUCACAUCGAAUGAUAUGUUCUAAGCGUUUGUGCUCGUACAUCGAACCUCAUGCAACCAACCACCCCCAAAAAAAAAUGAACAGCCGACCACCGCCUUUGCGACCCUUUAACCUCACGAGAACUGCUGUCUUCAAAUUUCUUCUCAGCAAGUAAAUUGGUACGAAUCAGACCUGCAAGGAAAGGUGAAAGCACUUCGAUUCUUUUUUCUCCCUAUUGAAACCUAGUGGCAGGAAAAAACGGCAGGAUGAUUGAAUAGAAUAUGAUUAUGAGAAUUGAAGUCAAAAGUCAUACGACAUUUGAAUGAGGUGCUUUUCAUUUUUUUCUACUCUUCUCUAUUUCAGGCCUCAAGAAGCUGAGUGAAUGUUUCACUUCCCCCAUCUCGUCUCCUCGGCUACCGACAACGGCAGGAGUUCCUCAGGAGGUAUGGCACUUCCCGUCUCGCUCUUCGCCUCAUGUGUGUGUUGAUGAGCACAUGAAAAUGAAGGAUAUUUCCAACACAGUACAGCCUGCACUAAGAGGCGGGGGGGGACAAACAUAGAGAAGAACGAAAAAUAAACGAAAACAUACAAUGUCCGUAUAGUCUGCCUCAUGAGCCGGAGGAUUUCCUCUUAGUAGAUAUGGACAUGUGUUGGAGCGCAUGUUUUUAUAUUUCCAGAUAAGUAACUCAACUUUUAUUUAUUCUGGCAGCC
RNAcentral lists this unclassified non-coding RNA (2257 nucleotides) under Leishmania donovani. RNAcentral's name for it is "gene:LdHU3.34.0030(CDS-product:short_chain_dehydr ogenase_putative)". Lineage: Eukaryota; Euglenozoa; Kinetoplastea; Trypanosomatida; Trypanosomatidae. The record is from RNAcentral.